CCCUUAGAUGUUCUGGGCCGCACGCGUGCUACACUGAUGUGUCCAGUAAGCACCUAACCUCUUCCGAAAGGAACGGGUAACCUUUGCAAAGCACAUCGUGAUGGGGAUAGAUUAUUGCAAUUAUUAGUCUUGAACGAGGAAUUCCUAGUAAGCACAAGUCAUCAGCUUGUGUUGAUUACGUCCCUGCCCUUUGUACACACCGCCCGUCGCUCCUACCGAUUGAAUGUUCCGGUGAGCUCUUCGGACUGCGCGGUCUGCAGUUUCUGCGUUCCGUGCGGAAAGUUGCGCAAACCUUAACAUUUAGAGGAAGGAGAAGUCGUAACA
Molecule: ribosomal RNA, 324 nt
Filed under: uncultured eukaryote
Lineage: Eukaryota
Description: partial 18S ribosomal RNA
Rfam family: Eukaryotic small subunit ribosomal RNA
Source: RNAcentral